UCUGAAGUAGGUCCUGUUUAC
Molecule: non-coding RNA, 21 nt
Filed under: Rattus norvegicus (Norway rat)
Lineage: Eukaryota; Metazoa; Chordata; Mammalia; Rodentia; Muridae
Source: RNAcentral